AACCUAGCACACCUGCGGUGUGUACCUGCGGAAGGAUCAUUACUGAGUGUAAAAACUCCCAAACCCAUUGUGAACAUACCACUGUUGCUUCGGCGGAUACGCCCCGGGCGCGCUCUUCACAGGGCGUGCCCCGGAACCAGGCGCCCGCCGGGGGACCGAAACUCUUGUUUUCUUAGGAUCUCUGAGUGUGAUUAUUAAAUAAAUCAAAACUUUCAACAACGGAUCUCAGAUCGGAAGAGC
RNAcentral lists this unclassified non-coding RNA (240 nucleotides) under soil metagenome. Its description in RNAcentral is "partial contains 5.8S ribosomal RNA, internal transcribed spacer 2, and large subunit ribosomal RNA". The record is from RNAcentral.